GUGCAUUCUGGGGUCAUUUUGGCUGUUGGUAGCUUGCUUGGCAAUUGAGCUUGGUGGGUUGCUACUAGUUGGGUGUCUUCGGGGAUGUCUACCGUAAAGGUGCAUGAGUGGUGUUUGGUUUGUUACGGGUGGUUGGCUCUUUGCUUGCGCAACAACUUCUACCUGGCAUACCUCUUCAGUCUUGUGUCAAUGCUUGUAUUGCAUUGAAUGCACGGUGGGUUUCUUGUGUUGCAUGCCUAAUUUAAUGGUAUUGCUUGAUGUAUUGGUUUUCCUUUCGUUUUGCAUUGCCUAUGCGAUGUGAGAUGAACCUUGAAGCAGCCUUUGUGAUCCACUGAUUUGAUGUAUAUGCAUUGAUUUUGUGGCCCAUUGAGUGUUGCUCGGUCUCAUGGAUAUGGAACCUGGUGUGGGCAUGGAAUCUUAAUGGUUCCUUGUUUGCCCAAGUUUAGCUUUUCUAAAACGAUUGUCUAUCAUGUGUUAACAUGCUAGACUACUUCGGAUAUGAAUGCUACCUGGUUGAUCCUGCCAGUAGUCAUAUGCUUGUCUCAAAGAUUAAGCCAU
Molecule: unclassified non-coding RNA, 558 nt
Filed under: Pseudognaphalium luteoalbum
Lineage: Eukaryota; Viridiplantae; Streptophyta; Magnoliopsida; Asterales; Asteraceae
Description: partial external transcribed spacer
Rfam family: Eukaryotic small subunit ribosomal RNA (bases 507-558)
Source: RNAcentral